This 424-nucleotide long non-coding RNA is filed under the name Brassica rapa (field mustard). RNAcentral describes it as "long non-coding RNA (BRAP_LNC000597)". Lineage: Eukaryota; Viridiplantae; Streptophyta; Magnoliopsida; Brassicales; Brassicaceae. The record is from RNAcentral.
UCGAACACGUGUGUUCUGUUCUGAAUUUAAGAAUCCUCAAACAUCUCGGUUAGGUACCGCGAAAAUUCAUCGAUACAGAUUAUCUAGUGUAACUAGUUAACUCUAACAUGAAUUUAGUAUGUCUAUCAAUCUUUUCACAUGUAUAUUUUUUUUUUUGCAAACCAUGCAUAAUUAGAAAAGAAGAUCCAAAUUUUUUUGUUUUGUUUUAUUUUAUUUUUGAAUUCAAGAAGUUCUCCGCACAAACCUAUAAUUUUUUUCGGCCAUGAACAAGAGCCGGUUGUUUAAUCUCCUCCCCGUAGCUUCCGAGACUCAAACAUAAUAUAUCUACCUUUAGAAAAGAAAGCUUUACCAGUUGAAUUAGCAACUCCGAAUUCCAUUUUUUUAUUACUUGUAAAUCAUGCUUAUAUGUCAAUUUCAUUUCUGU